Molecule: long non-coding RNA, 1131 nt
Filed under: Gadus morhua (Atlantic cod)
Lineage: Eukaryota; Metazoa; Chordata; Actinopteri; Gadiformes; Gadidae
Description: lncRNA (ENSGMOG00000028796.1)
Source: RNAcentral
GUGUGCUUCACACCUGCCUGGACACUCUGCUGCAGGGCCCCGUUGUGGCGAAACUGCAGUUCCAUCCACCGCCAUUUCUUUUUUCUUUUUUUUUCUCGGUAUAAACGAUAUGGCCAAAUCUCUCCCGUAGACACUUUCGUAUCGUCCACGGUAUGAUAUCGUCAUAUCGCCCACCCCUAGUAGGUAGCAUAUACGAGAUAGAGACAGAGAUAGAGAUGGAGAGCGAUAUAGUAAGCGAGAUAGAGAGAGAGAUGGAGUGCGUUAGAAAGAGUUAAGAGAUAGAGCGUUAGAUAGUGUUAGAUAGAAUUAGAUAGAGAGCGAGAGAUAGAGAGAUAGAGUUAGAUAUAGUAGAGAGCGAGAGAUAGUUAGAUAGAGAGCGAGAGAUAGAGUUAGAUAUAGUAGAGAGCGAGUGAUAGAGUUAGAUAGAGAGCGAGAGAUAGUUAGAUAUAGUAGCGAGCGAGUGAUAGAGUUAGAUAGAGAGCGAGAGAUAGUUAGAUAUAGUAGAGAGCGAGUGAUAGAGUUAGAUAUAGGCCUAGUAGAGAGCGAGAGAUAGAGUUGGAUAGAGAGCGAGAGAUAGAGUUAGAUAGAGAGAGAGAAUGGAUCCGAUCCUUAUCAAGGAACUUAUUGACUUCAAAGUCAAUAAUCGUUACCCUGAUAUUGCACCGAAGAGUCAGAGGUUCAUCAUUAAACGAAGAGCCUCCCACUUCGUGCUCCAGGAUGGAGACCUAUUCUACAUCUGUAGAAGGAGGCAGGGGAGGGAGCAUUUGGCCAAAGUCGUUUGCUUGGCGGCCGCGGCCAACCUCAUAUUUGAGGAAAUGCACUGUUGCCGUGUUGGUGGUCACUGCGGUGUCGAGAAGACCCACAAUGCAGUGAUCAGCCGAUACUACUGGCCUGGCAUGGAGGCGGACAUUGGCAAAUGGGUAAGUUAGAAUCGUCCCCCCAAUUUACUUUGUUUAUUUAAAAAUGAUGGCCUAAAUUAGGCCUUGCGGCCUCAUAUUACCUCAUAUGUAGCUACCAACGUAAUUGGUGUUCCGGCGCCAGGUGCGACGGAACCUAUGUAGCUACCAAUGUAAUUGGUAGCUACCAAUUACAUUGGCAUGAGGUAAUAUGAGGCUGCGAGGCCAAGGGCCA